UACGUAGGGGGCGAGCGUUACCCGGAUUUACUGGGCGUAAAGCGCGUGUAGGCGGCUGGCCAAGCGUGGUGUGAAAUCUUCGGGCUUAACCCGAAAACUGCAUUGCGAACUGGUCUGGCUAGAGUGUGUGAGAGGGUAGUGGAAUUCCCGGUGUAGCGGUGAAAUGCGUAGAUAUCGUAAGGAAGACCAGUGGCGAAGGCGGGUCUCUGGACAGUUCCUGACGCUGAGGCACGAAGGUCAGGGGAGCAAACGGG
RNAcentral lists this ribosomal RNA (254 nucleotides) under uncultured bacterium. RNAcentral's name for it is "partial 16S ribosomal RNA". It matches the Rfam family "Bacterial small subunit ribosomal RNA", at positions 524 to 776 of the family's 1533-position model. The record is from RNAcentral.